CCUACGGGUGGCAGCAGUGGGGAAUAUUGCACAAUGGGGGAAACCCUGAUGCAGCAACGCCGCGUGAAGGAAGAAGGUUUUCGGAUUGUAAACUUCUAUCAAUAGGGAAGAAAGAAAUGACGGUACCUAACUAAGAAGCCCCGGCGACAUACGUGCCAGCAGCCGCUGGAAUACGUAGGGGGCAAGCGGUAUCCGGAAUUACUGGGUGUAAAGGGUGAGUAGGCGGCAAGGUAAGCGAUAUGUGAAGGCCUUGAGCUUAACUUAAGGAUGGCAUAAAGAACGAUCUAGCUAGAGUACAGGAGAAGAAAGCGGAAGUCCUAGUGUAGCGGUGAAAUGCGUAGAUAUCAGGAAGAACACCAGUGGCGAAGGCAGCUUUCUGGACUGAAACUGACGCUGAGGCUCGAAAGCGUGGGGAGCGAACAGGAUUAGAUACCCGAGUAGUC
This 443-nucleotide ribosomal RNA is filed under the name uncultured bacterium. RNAcentral describes it as "partial 16S ribosomal RNA". It matches the Rfam family "Bacterial small subunit ribosomal RNA", at positions 338 to 795 of the family's 1533-position model. The record is from RNAcentral.